This is a non-coding RNA of Triticum urartu, 2210 nucleotides long. NCBI's taxonomy places the organism in Eukaryota, Viridiplantae, Streptophyta, Magnoliopsida, Poales, Poaceae. The record is from RefSeq and is a predicted model, not a curated record.
AAGAAAUUUAUUCCAAGAUAAUAGGGUUACAAUCGAGAGGCAUAAGCUCUUGAGUGCACAGUGGUCCUCUAUAUAGCCAUACAACAGUGCUAUGUUCAGUACAACUAUACAACGCUAGACGAUCUACAGCCCUAUUUUGAACACAUUUAAGCUUCAUAGGAGUAAAAUAUCUCCUUUCUAUCAACAACUUAAUCUCAGCAGCCAAGUGGCCGUUUUAAAACGAAUGAGACAGACCCUUCACACACACACACACACACAGAGACGUCAAAGUCUCUGAAGAAUCUGACUAGACAAUAACUCGUCGUCGGUGUGCUGCAACGCCAAAGCCAUACCUUGCAUCAGCGCAUGAAUUUCUACUUCAAAGAUGCCAUUGCAGUUGAACAGAAUCAGUAAGCUGCAAAUAUCUCACUUCCAUCUAAUCUGCGAAGAGUCAUGCCCGCUGCCGCUGUAACGUCCUCAACCGAGAAGGAGCCAUCCACUGAGAGGGUUGAAUGGUCUACCGGCAGGGGCCGCCAUGCACCAAUAGCUUUUGUCCUUCUUACCAUCAUAGUACGAUCGUCCACCCGAGGAAACUUUCCUUUGAUAAUAUCUUCAGUAGAAUAACUUAUUACCUUGUCUCCCGUCACUGCUAUGAAUUUAUUUAUAAAGUUGACAUAUGAAUUUUCUUAAAAAUAGGUCAGGGAGCUUGGGACAUGAUUACUGUGUUAAAUCUAGCAUUUUUUCUAGCAAACCAAUAUAUGGUUGGAUGGUUAGAAGGAUAGUGGUAACCACAAUCCAUCAAGGUUCAAGUCGACGUUCCCGUCGACUAUAAAGACAUCUGUGACGAUUUUAUCAAUCUCAAUAUGAUGUGCAGGCUGAGUCUCUCAAAGUGCUCAUAAGGAUAGGGUAUACAUAUGUGCAUUAGAUGAAUGCGCACAUGUAUAGCCGUUUAUGUCUAUACUGUGUUAUUAAAAAACAUGUUACAACUCAUCAUUUGUUUUCUGUUGCCGCUAUGAAUUUAUUUAUAAAGUUGGCAUAUGAUUUUCUUAAAAAUAGGUCAUAAAGCUUGUGACAUGAUUAUUGUGCCAAAUUUAGCAAUUUUUCAGCAAACCAAUCUUGGCUUGCAUGAUUAGAAGGACAUUGGUAACCACAAUCUAUCAUGAUUCAAGUCCUAAACUUGACACAGGUGUUUGUAUUUUCCAGCAUUUAUUUCAGAUUUUCUAUUGGUGUGCAUUCUAUGGGAGAAGAUGUUCUCAUCGACUACGGAGAUGUUUAUGGCGACUUCGUCAAUCUUAAAAUAAUGUGUUGAUUCAGUCUCUCAAAAUCAUAGAAGUAGGGUAUGCUUGCUUGUGUAUAUAGGGGUGAGGGUGCGUAUGUAUGAACGUCUGUGUUAUUUAAAAAACAUUUCUUAUGCAACAAAACGAUGUGUUAGAUGGAGCCUUACAGAUGGGCCUCUCUAGUGGAUAACGAGAUUACCUCGAUACAGCCAGCGGCACAUCUCGCCGCCGACGAAGUCCCCAGUUCAGCAAACGCCGAGGCGCAACGCCAAAAGCUCCAUCUCGCCGCCACCUCCCACCCUCCUUGUGCGCUAUCGAGCUGCUACACUUCGGCACUUCCUCUGGUCUGUUGCUUCUCUCUUUCCUGUCGUCGCGGGAAUGGGAUUGGGAUCCGUCUGAGCCGCGCAGUCCGAUUCCAGAUAAUGGUGUCCAGCCUGAAUGGGAUGUCUGUUAGAUAUUCGCUUGCUGACAAUACCAUGGAGUCCCCUACGAGGAUGGCCUCUUUGUUUCAGGUUGGAUGAAGACGAAGAACAAGGUGGCCUCUUUGUUUGACUGAUAUAUUUGGCCUCUUUUGCCAAUACAAGAAGGUGAAGCAAGUCUGUAGAUCAUUGCAACUACUAUCAGAAAUGGGCGAGCGCUUGCGGCAGGGCAAGGGCACCUCGAGGACAUACUGAAAAGCCCUGGCACUACUUCAAGUUGUGCAAAUCACUUCAGCCAUGUGAUGUAUUUAUCUGCUGGUUGUAAAUUUGUAAUAGAAUGCAGAGUAGUGUUCCUUUCAAAAAAGAAAGAGAGGGAGAGAUACAGCCCUCUAUUGCCCCCUUUCUUGUAACAUGAACAAUUUUCUCAUAAAUGACAGAUCGAUCAGACUGCUCCACAUCACACUGGAGUAAUUUCAUUUUUUUCAGUGUACAGAAAAAUUGACAGACAGAUAUGAAAGAAAAUAAAGAGCAUUAU